GGGCUCGUGGUCUAGCGGCUAGGACGUCGCCUUCACACGGCGGAGAUCAAGGGUUCGAAUCCCUUCGGGCCCA
RNAcentral lists this transfer RNA (73 nucleotides) under Nanobdellota archaeon. RNAcentral's name for it is "tRNA-Val". It matches the Rfam family "tRNA". From Rfam's summary of the family: Transfer RNA (tRNA) molecules are approximately 80 nucleotides in length. Their secondary structure includes four short double-helical elements and three loops (D, anti-codon, and T loops). Further hydrogen bonds mediate the characteristic L-shaped molecular structure. tRNAs have two regions of fundamental functional importance: the anti-codon, which is responsible for specific mRNA codon recognition, and the 3' end, to which the tRNAs corresponding amino acid is attached (by aminoacyl-tRNA synthetases). tRNAs cope with the degeneracy of the genetic code in two manners: having more than one tRNA (with a specific anti-codon) for a particular amino acid; and 'wobble' base-pairing, i.e. permitting non-standard base-pairing at the 3rd anti-codon position. The record is from RNAcentral. Lineage: Archaea; Nanobdellati; Nanobdellota. RNAcentral also lists the same sequence under 1 other name.